GAUGAACGCUAGCGGCAGGCUUAACACAUGCAAGUCGAGGGGUAUAGUUCUUCGGGACUUGAGACCGGCGCACGGGUGCGUAACGCGUAUGCAAUCUACCUUAUACAGGGGAAUAGCCCAGAGAAAUUUGGAUUAAUGCCCCAUAGUGUUAUCGAAUCGCAUGGUUUGAUAACUAAAGUUCCAACGGUAUAAGAUGAGCAUGCGUCCCAUUAGUUAGUUGGUAAGGUAACGGCUUACCAAGACAAUGAUGGUAGGGGUCCUGAGAGGGAGAUCCCCACACUGGUACUGAGACACGGACCAGACUCGUGAUGCU
Molecule: ribosomal RNA, 313 nt
Filed under: uncultured bacterium
Lineage: Bacteria
Description: bacterial SSU rRNA
Rfam family: Bacterial small subunit ribosomal RNA
Source: RNAcentral